GCGGACAUAGCGGAAGUGACGGGCAUUGCUUCAUGUACGCCGUAAAUUCGCCAUUGAACCUCCGCGUAAGACAUACGUAAUACCCGCUAAAGCUCUCCCGUGUGUGUGUGUGUUUUUUUAACGCAUUCGGUGUUCGGAAGUGACCUGCCCGGUGACACAUACCUUGCCCAGGCUGGUGUGUUUUUUUUACGUUUGGAGGUGAAGAAUAAAUCCAGUCAAGCUGGGGAGAAGCCAGGAAAUGUCCUACUACUCAUCGUCCCGCAGUUCGUCCAGGGCAUCCGACUGCAAGGUGUACGUGGGUGACCUGGGCAACGGUGCCGCCAAGGGGGAGUUGGAACGGGCGUUCAGCUACUAUGGCCCGCUGAGGACCGUCUGGGUGGCCAGGAACCCGCCAGGGUUUGCUUUUGUGGAGUUUGAGGAUCCAAGAGAUGCUGAAGAUGCUGUUAAAGGCACGGAUGGGAAGCUCUUGUGUGGGUCACGUGUACGAGUGGAGAUGUCAACUGGCAUGUCCAGGAAGGGCCGCGGACGCCCCAGCCGUCGCCAGUUUGACCCAAAUGACCGCUGUUACCAGUGUGGGGACCGCGGUCAUUAUGCCUAUGACUGCUACCGCUUCAGCAAGCGAGGAGGAGGAGGAGGAGGAGGAGGACGUCGCAGCAGGUCCCGAUCCCAUUCUCGAUCGCGGUCCAGGUCCAGAUCUCGUGGGCGCCGCUACCGCUCCCGUUCUCACUCUCGCAGCCGUAGCCGCAGCAGGAGCCGCCGCCGUUCCCCAUCAUACUCAAGGCGCAGGAGCAGGUCCGGCUCUCAAGCCCGCUCCAAGUCCAGGACUCCAGUGAGAAGUCGUUCCAGGUCUCGUUCUCGGUCCAGAUCAGCACCAAGACGCUCUGCCUCCCGCUCCCGCUCUCGGUCACAGUCGGCCAAUCACAAGAAGAACAGGUAAACUUCAAGUCUCCCGUAUGCGCAAGAAUUGAGCUCUAGUUUUUAGACCUGCCCGGGCCAGCAAAUAACACUUAACAGGAAGAGUUACCAUUAGGUUCUAGAUGAUUCUGUCAGAUAUGUCAGCUGGAACUACAGCUGUUGAUUUCCAGGAGACGACAGUAGUCCAGCUAGUUACAGCUCCAGUCAGCCGUAUUGACCAGAUCUUUCUUCCAAACCUGGGGUAUCUUACUGCCGCCGACCGCCUUCCAUGCUGAGAUGAGCGAUCAGAGGACCCCCGACCCCUCUACCACCGCUGACAUAUUGGAAUCAUCGGCCUCUGCUGUCAGCCAUGUUGGUGUGGCAGGGUAUACUCUGCAACGUUUGGCUUGUGCGAAGUGUAGGGCUAAAUAAGUCAAAUGAUGUUCUUUACUUUUUAAUUAAGUUCAGCUAAAAGCUGAAGAGCGUCUUAACUGUUAAUAUGUACUCUUGUUUGCUAAAUUCAUGUUUAGGCUGACAGAAUGAUAAAUGUUACGCAAGUUCAAUGAAUUGAUGAUUCCCAGCCUGAGUGGCUAGACAAGAGAAUUCAGAUUUUUAAAUGCAGAGCAGCAGCUAAAGUUUAAGAUCUUUGCAGCAAAGUUUUGUUUAUUUUUCAUAUUUUCUUUAAAGUGUGUGCUGGGAGCUGCGCACUGCGUUGACACUGCAGCUGAUCCCAGGCCAAGGGUCUGCCAGCUGGCGGUGUGUACAUCCUGCGGGAGGGUGACUAGGCGCUGAACUGAGAUCAGCCUUCGCCUGGCGUUAGACAGCGAGAAUCUCCCCCCGCGCAGUGAAUGGGUGACCGUCUGUCCAACCGACGCACACGCUCAGACGAGAUCAGCCCGUGCACACUUACAGUUGUUCUCCUAGAGUCACCCAGGCCGUCAGCCAGCCAGCCGGCAGAUCUACCAGAGCGUCGGCAUGAACGGUUCAGAGUUCGACCAUUUAAAAUCCAUUACCUACCUACCAGACCCCCUACCUACCAGAGCUCUUCGGCCUCUGACUUAGCUUCUGAAAAUGAGAGCAAGCUGACCUGAGAUCAGUCUUCAAGAGCGUAGUCAUCCGUCCUUCAGUGCUUUCAACCUUCGCUUCUCUGUACUUGUUUUUUCUGCCAGUGUCUCCAAAGUCGUUCCCGCUCAGCAACACCACCACCACCACCACGAAGUCCAUCGCCAGCCGCCAACUGAGUGACAAACAAGACACCCCUCAAUCCCAACCCCUGUUCUCUUUUACAGCAGCGCUCCCAAGUUUUCCAUGUGUGGUUAUGCUUCAUUUCUUUCGGAGAUAAAGUGCAGCUUCAGAACACCUUUUUGAUUGGCGGAAGGUUUUAGGACAUCCUUCACAUGUAGUUUGUAUGAGAUGCAACGCCUACAUCUGCAUGGUGCUGUAUGUUGCAGUGGACUUUUAAUAGUGACAUUUGAACACUUUUUUGCUCCUGUGCGCUCAUUAAGCACCCAAUUCCUUAAAUAUGUAUAUUUCUGUCCUGCACUGCUCCCAUCCAUUUUUUCUUCUCUCGAAGUUUGUGUGCUUAAAAAGAUGUUCUCGGCCCUUCAGGUUAUUCCUGUGUAUUAUUUGAAAUUGUUUUUGGUGAUUCAGUUAGAAUUUGGAUGGGCUCCUGCUUGUACUGUUUGAGACGCUGGCAUUUUUAUUUUUCAAUAAAUCUUCCCAACAUA
Molecule: RNA transcript, 2621 nt
Organism: Entelurus aequoreus (snake pipefish)
Lineage: Eukaryota; Metazoa; Chordata; Actinopteri; Syngnathiformes; Syngnathidae
Gene: srsf7a
Gene name: serine and arginine rich splicing factor 7a
Exons: 8
Source: RefSeq, a predicted model, not a curated record